CAACAAACAAAAACAACAAUAUACUAACAAACAAUCAAUUAUAAUUACUAGCAUUAAAGCCAAGUAUUAAUACUAGAUGGACACAAACACAUUAUUCAAAACAAUUGUACUUGAACUUGAGAAAUUUAGAAGCACCAACCUUAUCUCCAACUUUGAUGAAAGAAGCAAUAUAGUCUUGUAUCAACUUUUUUAGAUGUUGAGCUUCCUCAGUUGCCUAGCACGAAAAGUUCUUAAAUUAGUUAAAUAUAAA
Molecule: long non-coding RNA, 250 nt
Filed under: Solanum tuberosum (potato)
Lineage: Eukaryota; Viridiplantae; Streptophyta; Magnoliopsida; Solanales; Solanaceae
Description: long non-coding RNA (STUB_LNC009021)
Source: RNAcentral